AUUGAACGCUGGCGGCAGGCUUAACACAUGCAAGUCGAGCGGUAGCACAGGGGAGCUUGCUCCCUGGGUGACGAGCGGCGGACGGGUAAGUAAUGUCUGGGAAACUGCCUGAUGGAGGGGGAUAACUACUGGAAACGGUAGCUAAUACCGCAUAACGUCGCAAGACCAAAGAGGGGGACCUUCGGGCCUCUUGCCAUCAGAUGUGCCCAGAUGGGAUUAGCUAGUAGGUGGGGUAAUGGCUCACCUAGGCGACGAUCCCUAGCUGGUCUGAGAGGAUGACCAGCCACACUGGAACUGAGACACGGUCCAGACUCCUACGGGAGGCAGCAGUGGGGAAUAUUGCACAAUGGGCGCAAGCCUGAUGCAGCCAUGCCGCGUGUGUGAAGAAGGCCUUCGGGUUGUAAAGCACUUUCAGCGAGGAGGAAGGUGGUGAUCUUAAUACGUUCAUCAAUUGACGUUACUCGCAGAAGAAGCACCGGCUAGCUCCGUG
This 490-nucleotide ribosomal RNA is filed under the name uncultured bacterium. RNAcentral describes it as "partial 16S ribosomal RNA". It matches the Rfam family "Bacterial small subunit ribosomal RNA", at positions 30 to 507 of the family's 1533-position model. The record is from RNAcentral.